This 564-nucleotide small RNA is filed under the name Histoplasma capsulatum var. duboisii H88. RNAcentral describes it as "Histoplasma capsulatum H88 hypothetical RNA". The record is from RNAcentral. Lineage: Eukaryota; Fungi; Ascomycota; Eurotiomycetes; Onygenales; Ajellomycetaceae.
UAUUUGACUAGUUGAGAACUAAUCACUGUUAUAUAAACAAUAUUGUGAAAAAUGACUUUUAUAUUGAAAAAAUAUAAAAGUAUAACUAGUUAAUCACUAAUAUAUAACUAGUUGACUAACAGAUUGAAGUAUAUUUAUAAAUUAAUAAAUAUUUAACUAGUUGUUGGAAUAAUCCCCUUUGAAAUGUCUUCUAUAGUUAUGAUUUGGUUGAUUCAUUAAGCUUGCUUCUCUAAGAUACAGGCGGGGGUUCAAGAGGGUAUUUAUAUGGGCACUCUAUCACUAAUAAAAAGAGGUUGGAACAAAAGGGAAAGGAACAGAGUAGGCAUAUGACCUCAUGAAACUUCCAUGCUUUAGUGUAGCAUUUGUCAUCAUUUGAAAAGGAAAAGCAGCGCCCUCACUGUGGCAUGUUGUGGGGAAAGAAGAUGGAAUGCAACACCAGGUAAUAUCAGGGGCAGAUGGGAUCAAGACAAAAGGAAGAAAUGAUAAGAAGAGGAAAAGCAAGGGAAAGCUCACUGAAUGAGGGGAAACAAAAAGAAGUUGAAAGAAGUACAGUACAUAGUCAGA